AAAAUUAUUUUAAAAAUCGAGAACUGAACUAAAUCAGAAUUGUACUAAAAUUUAAAUUCGAUUUCAGUUCCUAAAUAGACCCUAAAUUAAAAUUGGAAGCAAAAAUCAAACACUUUUAACUAUCACUAUUUGAAGCUUGAAGAUAGACAGAUAUAAUUAGUUACAAAUUUAUGAUAUCUGUAACAACCCAAAUUUUUUAAAAUUAGAAUAAAUAAAUUAAAAAUAAAAAAAUUAAUUAAA
Molecule: unclassified non-coding RNA, 240 nt
Filed under: Hevea brasiliensis (rubber tree)
Lineage: Eukaryota; Viridiplantae; Streptophyta; Magnoliopsida; Malpighiales; Euphorbiaceae
Source: RNAcentral